RNAcentral lists this microRNA (23 nucleotides) under Caenorhabditis elegans. RNAcentral's name for it is "cel-miR-1817". The record is from miRBase by way of RNAcentral. Lineage: Eukaryota; Metazoa; Nematoda; Chromadorea; Rhabditida; Rhabditidae.
UAGCCAAUGUCUUCUCUAUCAUG